RNAcentral lists this ribosomal RNA (321 nucleotides) under Triticum aestivum (bread wheat). RNAcentral's name for it is "partial small subunit ribosomal RNA". The record is from RNAcentral. Lineage: Eukaryota; Viridiplantae; Streptophyta; Magnoliopsida; Poales; Poaceae.
AUGCGAUGGAAUAAUCAAAAGGGUAAUUUGAUGGUCUACACUUAUCACGCUGAUCCUUCUGCCGCUUCCUUCUCCUUCCCUCUCGUUGUCGUCGUCGUCGUUGUGGCUGCCGCCGCUGCGGUGGUACUAGUAGCGCCGGCGCUACUACUUCUAGUCGGAGGAGACGCUGGCGUUGUGUGCUGUUGCUCAGCGGACUGUGACGGCUCGUCCUCGUCGUCCUCGCCGCCUCCGGAGGUCGCUGCCGCCUCCGCGGCGGUGACAACGGGAGGCGGCGCCGCGGGGGCGGACGUGCUGCCGCGCUUGCGCUUCUUCUUCUCGUAG